This 77-nucleotide transfer RNA is filed under the name Alphaproteobacteria bacterium RIFCSPHIGHO2_12_FULL_63_12. Its description in RNAcentral is "tRNA-Met". It matches the Rfam family "tRNA". Rfam says of the family: Transfer RNA (tRNA) molecules are approximately 80 nucleotides in length. Their secondary structure includes four short double-helical elements and three loops (D, anti-codon, and T loops). Further hydrogen bonds mediate the characteristic L-shaped molecular structure. tRNAs have two regions of fundamental functional importance: the anti-codon, which is responsible for specific mRNA codon recognition, and the 3' end, to which the tRNAs corresponding amino acid is attached (by aminoacyl-tRNA synthetases). tRNAs cope with the degeneracy of the genetic code in two manners: having more than one tRNA (with a specific anti-codon) for a particular amino acid; and 'wobble' base-pairing, i.e. permitting non-standard base-pairing at the 3rd anti-codon position. RNAcentral also lists the same sequence under 1 other name. Lineage: Bacteria; Pseudomonadati; Pseudomonadota; Alphaproteobacteria. The record is from RNAcentral.
GGCGGGAUAGCUCAGUUGGUGAGAGCGCAGGAUUCAUAACCCUGAGGUCGGCAGUUCAAUUCUGCCUCCCGCUACCA